AGAGACUUAGUCCAUUGGGCCCAAAUCAAUGAAACCUGUCCUAAUCUAAUUGCGCUUUUGACCUAUUUUUCACCUGUCCUAAUCUAUGUUUUCGAGCCUUUUUGGCCCAAAAUUUGCUUCACCUGUAUUAAAAUACAACUUUGGCUUCGAGGCCUAAAUGAAUGACUUUAAACAGAUGCAUAAAUAAUUAAAUACAAUAAGAAAUAAAAUAAUAAGAGAGUGAGACUUUCAAGUUUCUUUGUCGUUUCAACGAUGGGAUUUUAACCUAUUUCUUCUUCUUCCAUCUCUUGCAUCCGCACCUCAUGUAUCAUCCUAUUGAACCUUUUUUCAAAGUCUUCUUUUUUAAAAAGUGGGCCUUAAUGGCCCAUUGCGUAAUGCAAGGGGAAAGGGUCCAUUUGGACUCCUGAACGGGUUCACGCAAAGAAAAGGAUGAAGAAAUUAAUAUUUAUUCGAAACACAAUGUGACAUGCUUCAAAAUAGAAGAAACUAUUAACAGCUAAUUUUUGAAUGACAAUGAUGAGCACACAUACACACAUAUGGUUAAAAUGAGAGUCAAGAUAUGAAAUGCAAAGCAAGAACGUACAUCUCCAUGCCUUAUGGUUUAUACUCAUGUUAAGGAUAAAUAUGAAAGGAAA
RNAcentral lists this long non-coding RNA (635 nucleotides) under Capsicum annuum. RNAcentral describes it as "long non-coding RNA (CANN_LNC019604)". The record is from RNAcentral. Lineage: Eukaryota; Viridiplantae; Streptophyta; Magnoliopsida; Solanales; Solanaceae.